This 594-nucleotide ribosomal RNA is filed under the name uncultured Bacteroidota bacterium. RNAcentral's name for it is "bacterial SSU rRNA". It matches the Rfam family "Bacterial small subunit ribosomal RNA", at positions 122 to 715 of the family's 1533-position model. The record is from RNAcentral. Lineage: Bacteria; Pseudomonadati; Bacteroidota.
CAACCUGCCGAUAACUCGGGGAUAGCCUUUCGAAAGAAAGAUUAAUACCCGAUGGUAUAUUUUCACCGCAUGGUGAAACUAUUAAAGAAUUUCGGUUAUCGAUGGGGAUGCGUUCCAUUAGGCAGUUGGUGAGGUAACGGCUCACCAAACCUUCGAUGGAUAGGGGUUCUGAGAGGAAGGUCCCCCACAUUGGAACUGAGACACGGUCCAAACUCCUACGGGAGGCAGCAGUGAGGAAUAUUGGUCAAUGGGCGCGAGCCUGAACCAGCCAAGUAGCGUGAAGGAUGACGGCCCUAUGGGUUGUAAACUUCUUUUAUAUGGGAAUAAAGUUUGGUAUGUAUACCAUUUUGUAUGUACCAUAUGAAUAAGGAUCGGCUAACUCCGUGCCAGCAGCCGCGGUAAUACGGAGGAUCCGAGCGUUAUCCGGAUUUAUUGGGUUUAAAGGGAGCGUAGGUGGAUUGUUAAGUCAGUUGUGAAAGUUUGCGGCUCAACCGUAAAAUUGCAGUUGAAACUGGCAGUCUUGAGUACAGUAGAGGUGGGCGGAAUUCGUGGUGUAGCGGUGAAAUGCUUAGAUAUCACGAAGAACUCCGAUUG